RNAcentral lists this unclassified non-coding RNA (200 nucleotides) under soil metagenome. RNAcentral's name for it is "partial contains internal transcribed spacer 2 and large subunit ribosomal RNA". The record is from RNAcentral.
UGUGGUCGGCUCCUCUCAAAUGAAUCAGCUUGCCAGUGUUUGGUGGCAUCGCAGGUGUGAUAACUAUCUACGCUUGUGGUGUUCUGCCAGGCAACCUUCAGUGAUGGAGGUUCGCUGGAGCUCAUAAAUGUCUCUCCUCAGCGAGGACAGCCUUUUGAAUGUUUGAUCUCAAAUCAGGUAGGACUACCCGCUGAACUUAA